GAAAUGCGAUAAGUAGUGUGAAUUGCAGAAUUCAGUGAAUCAUCGAAUCUUUGAACGCACAUUGCGCCCCUUGGUAUUCCAUGGGGCAUGCCUGUUCGAGCGUCAUUUGCACCCUCAAGCUUUGUUUGGUGUUGGGCGUGUUGUCCUCAUUGGAGGACUCGCCUUAAAACAAUUGGCAGCCGGCAUAUUGGUAUCGGAGCGCAGCACAAGUCGCACUUCGUUCCAUGAAUGUUGGCGUCCAUCAAGACCCUUUUUUCACUCUUGAACUCGGAUCAGGUAGGGAUACCCGCUGAACUUAA
Molecule: unclassified non-coding RNA, 299 nt
Filed under: uncultured Pleosporales
Lineage: Eukaryota; Fungi; Ascomycota; Dothideomycetes; Pleosporales
Description: sequence contains ITS1
Rfam family: 5.8S ribosomal RNA (bases 1-105)
Source: RNAcentral